AUGAUGAAAAGAUUGUUGAGGGGCUCUUCGAGCCGAAGAUUGGCAGAUAAACAAAGUGAAGAGAAUAAGAAGCCCAAAUAUAAUCUUUCUUGCACCGCGGAAGUUCGUCCGUGUGAAUGGCCUUGUGAUGAGUUCUUGAGAGCAGUCGGGAUUCAUGAUGAUUUUUAUUAUUUGGCUAAGAAUGCGGGCCUCAUUGACUUCCUCCAUGACCAGCGCGAACAGUAUCUCCUCCUCAUUAAUAUUUUUGUGGAAAAUUUUCAUUUCCAUGCUAGGAGAUCAUCACCUUCGGUGGAUUUUUUAUUUGUAUGA
RNAcentral lists this ribosomal RNA (309 nucleotides) under Triticum aestivum (bread wheat). Its description in RNAcentral is "partial small subunit ribosomal RNA". Lineage: Eukaryota; Viridiplantae; Streptophyta; Magnoliopsida; Poales; Poaceae. The record is from RNAcentral.